RNAcentral lists this ribosomal RNA (361 nucleotides) under Rhincalanus nasutus. RNAcentral's name for it is "partial 16S ribosomal RNA". Lineage: Eukaryota; Metazoa; Arthropoda; Copepoda; Calanoida; Eucalanidae. The record is from RNAcentral.
GCCCAAUGAAAAAAUUUAAUGGCCGCACACGUGCUAAGGUAGCAUAAUAAUUAGUUUUUUAAUUGAAAAAUGGAAUGAAUGAUGACACCAGAGAUGAAAUUAAAUCUUAAAUAGUGAAUUUUUAUUGUUAGUGAAAAUACUAAUUUAAUUUAUUAAGACAAAAAGACCCUAUGAAGCUGCUAAAUAGAAAAAUUAUUAAAAUUAAACUAUAAAUUUGUUUUUUGGGGUAAAAUAUAAUAAUUAUAUUUUAAAAAAUUAGAAAAUUUUAGCCUUUAGGAAUAUUGACAAAGCUCCUCUAGGGAUAACAGCAUUAUGCUUAUAAGAGUUCUUAUCAGAAUAAGCGUUUGUGACCUCGAUGUUG